CUUGUACACACCGCCCGUCACACCAUGGGAGUGGGUUUUACCAGAAGUAGUUAGCCUAACCGCAAGGAGGGCGACUACCACGGUGAGAUUCAUGACUGGGGUG
This 103-nucleotide ribosomal RNA is filed under the name uncultured bacterium. RNAcentral describes it as "partial 16S ribosomal RNA". It matches the Rfam family "Bacterial small subunit ribosomal RNA", at positions 1380 to 1482 of the family's 1533-position model. The record is from RNAcentral.